UGAUGACAUAUGAAGGAAAUUCAGGCCUCUUGACUCAGAGCCAGAGGCCUGUGUAAACAUUCCUGUGUCUGAGAUUUUGGGGUUGGGGUAGGUCUCUGGAUCUGUCCCCUCCAAAUGUCAGGAGCUCACGGAAUUUUCACAAAGGAUCGUGCCUAGGAAAUGUAGACUUUGGUGAUAAAAAAUACACAGUGAUCAUUACAUUGACAUUUGAAAUAUCUGGCUCUCUUUGAAUUGCACAGAUAAUGUUAAAAGGUCAGUGGUGAUGUUGAUGAAAGAAAAUGGUUGGUGAGUAGGAUCUUAAUAAUAGUUCUUUAUUGAGUGAAGCAAACAAAAGCUUAGAAAACAACAUAUGGGCAAAUGCAGUUUAAAGCACAGUAACACAGAAUUCCACAGCAAUACAACCAAGGCCAAGUUCCAGCCUCCUGGCUUCCAUAAUUCCAGAAAAAAAAAAAUCUAGUAAAUGUUUGAAUAAAAUGUCCAUGGCCAAGAGGAACUGACAAGGUCAAACCUGCAGGAGUACUCACAUUUCUGGUUUUCCCAUUAGAUUUUAUCUCUUAUCAAGCAGUGGGAUCUGGCAAGAGGGAUAGAAAAGAUUUUUAAUUCAACUUUGAGAAGAACUGGAGGAAGAAGCAAGGCCAUGGGAGUCCUUCUCCAUGGGACCACAGUGUUCCCAUGGUGACAGAGCGUUGCUCCUUAGACUCUUCCCGGGAGGUUAAUGCUGCUCUUCCGUGUCAGAGCACUCUGUCUUCUAUUAUCCAGCUCCAGAUUCUAGCUGAUGCUGUGGGUCAUGUCUGGUGGUUUUCCCUCACUGCAAAUGAUGGCCAGAAUUUUGUGCUUCUCCCUGAUCAACAAAUGCUGUGUUUCUGGGAAAUGUUGAAACUGCAGCUCCAGCCCGGAUACUCUGGACCACUGAGGCCUCAGCUUGCAAUGCUGCCCACUCUAGUUUCGAGGCUGAUUUUCUCUGAUGGGAUGGACUUUUUGUUGGAGGUGGAGGAGAUGUCUUUCGUUUGGCCAGAGAGCCUGUCCAUGCCAGUUCUGAAGUGCUGACUGGAACAAAGGGCUGUCUGCCUGGAUUGUAGACGCCCGAUGAAGAGGUGUUGCUGAGCUCCCGGUAUCUGUAGCACAUACCGGCAGUGAGGCAGAUGGGCCCUGUCAUCCCGGCCAGAACCAUCACCUGCUUAAAGCCCCAAAGGGCCAAACAACGAACUCUCCUAGAAUCAACUCCAUGGCCGUGAAGAAUCUUGUUAUAAAAUGGCUACUCGUGUAACUCUGCUUCUGGGGGAGGAAUAUGCAGCUCAGGCCAAAAUGAGGAUUAGGACUUGUCUAGCGGCUGUGCUUCAGUGAAAAUUAAUAUGCUGGCAAUUUUGGUUCUUACGGGACUGUUGCCAGCUUAGUUACUGUGGGUCUACUGCUCAGAAACUCAUCCAACUUUGCAGCCUGUGACUGAGCUAAGGCUGCAGACCGAAUUCAUUCAUUCAAGUAACAUCAUGUGUCUCUAAGCCAGAGUUAGAGAGAAGGAAGGAUACACUCACUCACUCACUCUCUCUCUCUCUCUCUCUCUCACACACACACACACACACACAUACACAGAGAGAGAGAGAGAGAGAAAGCCUCCAUCUGCUGGUUCACUCCCCAAAUGUCUACAAUGGUGAGGGCUGGGCCUGGUUGAAGCCAGGAACCAGAAGCUUCAUUCAAGUCUCCCACAUGGGUACAGGGGUCCAAGUGCAUUAGCAAGGGAGCUGGCUUGGAAGUGGGGCACCCGAGACUCGAACCAGCUCCCAUAUGGAAUGUGGUGGGUGCUGUAGGCGGCAGCUUAACCUGCUACACCACAAUGCUGGUCCAGUCAUGUUUUUUUCUAUUUUAUCUUAUAGGCAAAGAGUGCUUACCGAAGGAAUUUUUUCUUAUUCAAAAUUUUUGAGACAGAGAGGGAGAGAGCAACAGAUAGAGAGAGCUCCCAUUCACUGUUCAUUCUGUAAAUGUCCGCAAUGGCCUGCCUGGGCUGAGCCACAGUAACUAAGCUGAAGCUGGGAGCAGGGAGCCAGGAACUCAG
Long non-coding RNA from Oryctolagus cuniculus (rabbit), 2050 nucleotides. The record is from Ensembl. Lineage: Eukaryota; Metazoa; Chordata; Mammalia; Lagomorpha; Leporidae.